Molecule: ribosomal RNA, 466 nt
Filed under: uncultured bacterium
Lineage: Bacteria
Description: partial 16S ribosomal RNA
Rfam family: Bacterial small subunit ribosomal RNA
Source: RNAcentral
GAUGAACGCUGGCGGCGUGCUUAACACAUGCAAGUCGAACGAUGAAGCCCAGCUUGCUGGGUGGAUUAGUGGCGAACGGGUGAGUAACACGUGAGUAACCUGCCCUUAACUCUGGGAUAAGCCUGGGAAACUGGGUCUAAUACCGGAUAGGAGCGUCCACCGCAUGGUGGGUGUUGGAAAGAUUUAUCGGUUUUGGAUGGACUCGCGGCCUAUCAGCUUGUUGGUGAGGUAAUGGCUCACCAAGGCGACGACGGGUAGCCGGCCUGAGAGGGUGACCGGCCACACUGGGAAUGAGACACGGCCCAGACUCCUACGGGAGGCAGCAGUGGGGAAUAUUGCACAAUGGGCGCCAGCCUUAUGCAGCGACGCCGCGUGAGGGCUGACGGCCUUCGGGUUGUAAACCUCUUUCAGUAGGGAAGAAGCGAAAGUGACGGUACCUGCAGAAGAAGCACCGGCUAACUACGUG